Long non-coding RNA from Otolemur garnettii (small-eared galago), 379 nucleotides. RefSeq lists it as uncharacterized. NCBI's taxonomy places the organism in Eukaryota, Metazoa, Chordata, Mammalia, Primates, Galagidae. The record is from RefSeq and is a predicted model, not a curated record. The transcript is spliced from 3 exons.
GAGCGGGCCAUGGCAGUGGGUGGUGGGCGGGUGUAACGCUUCGCGGAGCCGGCGAGAAGUGACUGAGAGAGGCGGGGAUGGGGGCGCCGGAGCGAGGAGGUUGCGACCCCAAGGACUGCUGACCGUGCACCCGGAGUGGUAGUCAGCUGUGGCAGUGGAGCCCUGGGGCAGCAUAUCAUCUAAUCUGAAAGUCUUCCAUGAAAACGCCAGUUUUAAAAAAUAAAUAAUGCCAUCUGUUUUCCUAAAAGAAUGAAAUGGGGGCUAUCAUUUUGAGAGCCCCAUGGUUAUGAAUGUGCUUCAGUUUCAUAAUGCCUCCUGCUAUGGCAGACAUCCUUGACAUCUGGGCAGUGGAUUCACAGAUAGCAUCCGAUGGCUCCAU